UGGCGCAAUUGGUUAGCGCGUUCGGCUGUUAACCGGAAUGCUGGUGGUUCGAAGGCGUGGGUUAAAAUCCCAC
This is a non-coding RNA of Daphnia pulex (common water flea), 73 nucleotides long. NCBI's taxonomy places the organism in Eukaryota, Metazoa, Arthropoda, Branchiopoda, Diplostraca, Daphniidae. The record is from Rfam.